RNAcentral lists this ribosomal RNA (301 nucleotides) under uncultured bacterium. RNAcentral's name for it is "partial 16S ribosomal RNA". It matches the Rfam family "Bacterial small subunit ribosomal RNA", at positions 509 to 807 of the family's 1533-position model. The record is from RNAcentral.
CAGCAGCCACGGUAAUACGUAGGUGGCAAGCGUUGUCCGGAAUUAUUGGGCGUAAAGCGCGCGCAGGUGGUUUAAUAAGUCUGAUGUGAAAGCCCACGGCUCAACCGUGGAGGGUCAUUGGAAACUGUUAAACUUGAGUGCAGGAGAGAAAAGUGGAAUUCCUAGUGUAGCGGUGAAAUGCGUAGAGAUUAGGAGGAACACCAGUGGCGAAGGCGGCUUUUUGGCCUGUAACUGACACUGAGGCGCGAAAGCGUGGGGAGCAAACAGGAUUAGAUACCCGUGUAGUCCCUGUCUCUUAUAC